Molecule: long non-coding RNA, 2745 nt
Filed under: Mytilus galloprovincialis (Mediterranean mussel)
Lineage: Eukaryota; Metazoa; Mollusca; Bivalvia; Mytilida; Mytilidae
Source: RNAcentral
UAAUAGAAUCAGUUCUCUUUGAUUUGACUAUUCUAGAAAGUCGACAUGUGGAAAGAAAUUUUAGUGGUGUUAGUUAUUUCUUGUACAGUUGCCACCGCUUCUAAGGUAUGCAAUACGGUAUAUUUAUGAAAGUCUAAAAAUGCAUGGUAUCGAAAUUUAAAAAAAUGUGUAUAUGAAGCAUUUAAAAAUUUCGAUACAACGCAUUAUUUACCUUUCGAGCAAUUCAACUUAAUAACGUUUUAAACUGAUCUUAUUAUUUAUGAUUUGUCUAUGUUUUUAAAAAGCACUUCGAUAUCUGUUUAAGAUUUUGUUGGUUUGUUUGUAAUUUAAUGUAAAUUCAAUAUAGAGUGCUUAAACACUUAAUUGCUAUUAUAUCAAUUAAUACAAGCUAUAACACGGCCAUCAUGAGUUGGUGGACUAUUGUGAAAUUUCUGUGACUCAGAUGGCCCCGCAUAUGUUUCAUAUGAUUAAUAAUAUCACAGACAUAUUUUUUUAUUGACUUAUUUUAUUUUUUUUAAGUAUGUCAGGUCGUCGUCUCAAUAAUAAGUAAUUAUUGCUUUCUACCACUAUUCAUCUCAAGGAACUUAUUACUAUAAAUAUAACAGUACAAAACAAAUUCUGUAGUGAUUCUGUAACUAUUGAUUAAAUAGAACAAAACCUUGUAAGAGUGUGGCACCCAUUAUACAAUCCUAAACAAUGGACAAAUAGUAGGCUUAUAUUUGCCACAAAUGGAAGCAACUUGUUAAUUUUAAAUAGAAAUAAUCAUCAAAACAAACUUAAGAAAUACGAUAAUCGUGCUUGAAAUGUUAAUGAUCGCAAGGUUUAAUGCAUUUUUUUUUUGUGUGUGUAAGCUUGUUAAAGAUUGCAGACUUUUGGUCUUUAUGAGACUCAUCACUGACGCUCAAUUCAAAACAUUUUGAAAGCCAAAUAAAAUACGAAGUUGAAGAGCAUUAAGACGAAACAAAAAUAGAAUAAUUAAUGUAAACAAAUUUAUUUUCCCGACCAAUUUAUUUUCGCGACUUACGUAAGUAGAAAAUUAACGCAAAUAUAAAUCGUCGCGAAAAUGUAAAACUUGGAUCUUUCCUUAUUAAACUACAUAAUAUAAAUUUAAAAAUCGCGAAAUUAAAUAGACGGGAAAUGGACUAGAAAUGAUUAAACGCGAAAUAAAGUAUCCGCGAAAAUAAGUUGGUUUACAGUAUAUGAAUUAAUUUUCAUAUUACAGGUUGAAUGUAGACAUGAUUCACAGUGUGGUUCAGAUGAAUGUUGUUACUACCACGAGGGGCCAUUGUUGCUUAGUAAGAAAAGACAGGUUGAUUUUAUAAAUGUCACACCAAUGGUUAUCUUUCAAGGUUAGUUUCAACCGUUACCAAUCUAUAUAUGGCACAGGUCAUAACCGUAACAACUAAAUCUAUGACGUUUGUUUAUUUAAAACAUAUUUUAAAACCAGGUUUAAUCCACCAUUUUCUACAUUUGAAAAUGCCUGUACCAAGUCAGUAAUAUGACAGUUGUUGUCCAUUCGUUUUUUAUAUGUUUUGUCAUUUGAUUUUGCCAUGUGAUUAGGGACUUUCCUAUUUGAUUUUCCUCUGAGUUCAGUAUUUUUAUGAUUUUACUUUUUUUCAUUGAAGAACACGAUUAAAACAAACCCGUGUACUGAUUUAUGAAGGAAAAUAUGUCGUUUCACAUCCAUAGACCUUAUCUGAUAUAUAAAGAGACUGUGCAUGACCAAUCGUUUUGACAUUCUAUAGUAUUCGUUCUCAAACAACAUUAUAAGUAGAACACAUUAAUGGCAUUCCAAGUGCUAUUUGAUUUGACAGUCUCUUGAUAUUUUUUACAAUUGUAAUAUUCGUUUGUACAGAUGUGUAUGAACCAUUUUAUUCUGUUGGUAAUAUGGUCGAAACCACUCGAAUACUGUAAUUUCAAUGUCAUUUGUAGGUGUGUUUCGAUACUUCAUUUAUAAAGUGCAGAAUAAAUAAUGUUUGCAAUAGUUAUCAAAGGUACCAGGAUUAUGUUACAGUUUAUAUGUUUACAAUCCUACAAAAUAACGCAAAACCCUCAAAAGAAAUACGAGAACCGAGGGAAACUCAGUUAUUUAGACGGAUUUCAAGAAUGUAUACGCAUUUUUGAUAGAUCCACUGGGAGCUCUAGAUAUUAUUCUUUUGAGAAUAAGCAAACAACUUUAUGUUUUAUAGAAAAAUGAGUUAUCAUAAUAUUUGCAAAUAUUAUAAAAAGUUAAAAUCACAAAAAUACUGAAAAGUCAACAAGAAAAGUCCCUGAUUAAAUGGCAAAAUUAAAAGCUCAAACACACAAACGAAUGGAUAAUGACUGUCAUAUUCCUGACAUGGAACAGACAAGAAAAGACCUUUCAAAGUAUAUGCAAAAUCAGUAGACGACAUAAUACAUUUAUGCGUUUAAAUUUCUUCGGUUUAUAUAUUAAACAAAUAUAUUCAUUUUACGUAAGGUUUUUUAAAUAAGGCUACCAUGAAUGAGUUAUUAUUUAAUUUUUUUCUCUAUGUUCAAGGUGGAUGGUGUGAAAAAUACUUGAAACAAGGUGAACACUGCAAUCACCAUAACAAGAUGAAUGGUCACUGUGAAUGCGGAGCCGGUUUGAGUUGCGCUUUCAUAGCAGAUCCGACAUUGCCUCCAAUGACCCCGUCUGGAAUAAUGACAGCAGAACACAAGCGCAUGUUGUUUUUUGGUGGACAUUCUGAAUGCCAACCAGUACCUUCAUCAUAAAAAUAAAAAAAA